RNAcentral lists this ribosomal RNA (746 nucleotides) under uncultured cyanobacterium. RNAcentral describes it as "bacterial SSU rRNA". It matches the Rfam family "Bacterial small subunit ribosomal RNA", at positions 61 to 852 of the family's 1533-position model. The record is from RNAcentral. Lineage: Bacteria; Bacillati; Cyanobacteriota.
GUCGAACGGGCUCUUCGGAGCUAGUGGCGGACGGGUGAGUAACGCGUGAGGAUCUGCCCUUAGGACGGGGACAACAGCUGGAAACGGCUGCUAAUACCCGAUGUGCCGAGAGGUGAAACUAUUUGGCCUGAGGAUGAGCUCGCGUCUGAUUAGCUAGUUGGAGUGGUAACGGCACACCAAGGCGACGAUCAGUAGCUGGUCUGAGAGGAUGAUCAGCCACACUGGGACUGAGACACGGCCCAGACUCCUACGGGAGGCAGCAGUGGGGAAUUUUCCGCAAUGGGCGAAAGCCUGACGGAGCAAGACCGCGUGCGGGAGGAAGGUCUAUUGAUUGUAAACCGCUUUUGAUAGGGAAGAAGAUCUGACGGUACCUAUCGAAUCAGCAUCGGCUAACUCCGUGCCAGCAGCCGCGGUAAUACGGGGGAUGCAAGCGUUAUCCGGAAUUAUUGGGCGUAAAGCGUCCGUAGGUGGUUUUAAAAGUCUGUUGUCAAAUCGCGAGGCUUAACCUCGUACAGGCAGUGGAAACUAUAAGACUAGAGUGCGGUAGGGGUAGAGGGAAUUUCCAGUGUAGCGGUGAAAUGCGUAGAUAUUGGAAAGAACACCGGUGGCGAAGGCGCUCUACUGGGCCUGCACUGACACUGAGGGACGAAAGCUAGGGGAGCGAAAGGGAUUAGAUACCCCUGUAGUCCUAGCCGUAAACGAUGGAAACUAGGUGUUGCCCGUAUCGACCCGAGCCGUGCCGAAGC